RNAcentral lists this ribosomal RNA (1844 nucleotides) under Escherichia coli. Its description in RNAcentral is "partial 23S ribosomal RNA". It matches the Rfam family "Bacterial large subunit ribosomal RNA", at positions 1119 to 2925 of the family's 2925-position model. The record is from RNAcentral. Lineage: Bacteria; Pseudomonadati; Pseudomonadota; Gammaproteobacteria; Enterobacterales; Enterobacteriaceae.
UCAUUUAAAGAAAGCGUAAUAGCUCACUGGUCGAGUCGGCCUGCGCGGAAGAUGUAACGGGGCUAAACCAUGCACCGAAGCUGCGGCAGCGACACUGUGUGUUGUUGGGUAGGGGAGCGUUCUGUAAGCCUGUGAAGGUGUGCUGUGAGGCAUGCUGGAGGUAUCAGAAGUGCGAAUGCUGACAUAAGUAACGAUAAAGCGGGUGAAAAGCCCGCUCGCCGGAAGACCAAGGGUUCCUGUCCAACGUUAAUCGGGGCAGGGUGAGUCGACCCCUAAGGCGAGGCCGAAAGGCGUAGUCGAUGGGAAACAGGUUAAUAUUCCUGUACUUGGUGUUACUGCGAAGGGGGGACGGAGAAGGCUAUGUUGGCCGGGCGACGGUUGUCCCGGUUUAAGCGUGUAGGCUGGUUUUCCAGGCAAAUCCGGAAAAUCAAGGCUGAGGCGUGAUGACGAGGCACUACGGUGCUGAAGCAACAAAUGCCCUGCUUCCAGGAAAAGCCUCUAAGCAUCAGGUAACAUCAAAUCGUACCCCAAACCGACACAGGUGGUCAGGUAGAGAAUACCAAGGCGCUUGAGAGAACUCGGGUGAAGGAACUAGGCAAAAUGGUGCCGUAACUUCGGGAGAAGGCACGCUGAUAUGUAGGUGAAGUCCCUCGCGGAUGGAGCUGAAAUCAGUCGAAGAUACCAGCUGGCUGCAACUGUUUAUUAAAAACACAGCACUGUGCAAACACGAAAGUGGACGUAUACGGUGUGACGCCUGCCCGGUGCCGGAAGGUUAAUUGAUGGGGUCAGCGCAAGCGAAGCUCUUGAUCGAAGCCCCGGUAAACGGCGGCCGUAACUAUAACGGUCCUAAGGUAGCGAAAUUCCUUGUCGGGUAAGUUCCGACCUGCACGAAUGGCGUAAUGAUGGCCAGGCUGUCUCCACCCGAGACUCAGUGAAAUUGAACUCGCUGUGAAGAUGCAGUGUACCCGCGGCAAGACGGAAAGACCCCGUGAACCUUUACUAUAGCUUGACACUGAACAUUGAGCCUUGAUGUGUAGGAUAGGUGGGAGGCUUUGAAGUGUGGACGCCAGUCUGCAUGGAGCCGACCUUGAAAUACCACCCUUUAAUGUUUGAUGUUCUAACGUGGACCCGUGAUCCGGGUUGCGGACAGUGUCUGGUGGGUAGUUUGACUGGGGCGGUCUCCUCCUAAAGAGUAACGGAGGAGCACGAAGGUUGGCUAAUCCUGGUCGGACAUCAGGAGGUUAGUGCAAUGGCAUAAGCCAGCUUGACUGCGAGCGUGACGGCGCGAGCAGGUGCGAAAGCAGGUCAUAGUGAUCCGGUGGUUCUGAAUGGAAGGGCCAUCGCUCAACGGAUAAAAGGUACUCCGGGGAUAACAGGCUGAUACCGCCCAAGAGUUCAUAUCGACGGCGGUGUUUGGCACCUCGAUGUCGGCUCAUCACAUCCUGGGGCUGAAGUAGGUCCCAAGGGUAUGGCUGUUCGCCAUUUAAAGUGGUACGCGAGCUGGGUUUAGAACGUCGUGAGACAGUUCGGUCCCUAUCUGCCGUGGGCGCUGGAGAACUGAGGGGGGCUGCUCCUAGUACGAGAGGACCGGAGUGGACGCAUCACUGGUGUUCGGGUUGUCAUGCCAAUGGCACUGCCCGGUAGCUAAAUGCGGAAGAGAUAAGUGCUGAAAGCAUCUAAGCACGAAACUUGCCCCGAGAUGAGUUCUCCCUGACCCUUUAAGGGUCCUGAAGGAACGUUGAAGACGACGACGUUGAUAGGCCGGGUGUGUAAGCGCAGCGAUGCGUUGAGCUAACCGGUACUAAUGAACCGUGAGGCUUAACCUUACAACGCCGAAGGUGUUU